This is a non-coding RNA of Chelonoidis abingdonii (Abingdon island giant tortoise), 1003 nucleotides long. NCBI's taxonomy places the organism in Eukaryota, Metazoa, Chordata, Testudines, Testudinidae. The record is from RefSeq and is a predicted model, not a curated record.
AAACAAUUUCCUCCAUCUUAUUAGUACUGAAUAAUUAUGGGCACUAUGGCAUAUAUAAAACAUCUGGAAUUGGCUACUUUUGGAGACAGGAUACUGGACUAGGUAAGAUAUUGGGCUGUUUUGUUCUAGCAACUAAAAUGUUCCCAUAAAUUUCACUCCAAAUCUCUUUUACUUUCCCAGUGGUAUACAGUACUAGCAUAUCAGAUUUUUUUUACACUUUAGCAUUUGGUUUUAAAAAGCUUUCAAACACCUAAUCUGUGAAGCAGUAUUUAGAAGACAGUGAUAUGGAUGACAUACACACAGCUAUGAAUUACUUUUCACACAUGCAUGGCAGCCAAUGUCAGAUUUUCCUUUUGCUUAUUGUUUAAACAAUGAAAAGUCCAAAUAAAGCAUGAUUAAGGAUCUGCUCACCCCCUUACCAUUCCCCCCCGCCCAUUUCUUGGUAUAACAGUCUAUUUUACAGAGAAUUGUUACAUUAAGAGCUUAAGUGACAUGGGAUAAUCUUGUACGAUUCCUGGGAGAACCUUGUAACUCUGUCCAGUUAUUGAAAUAAGAUUCUUUUGGAGUUCUGAUCAAUAAGGUGGGUGGAAGAUUACAAGUACUGGAUAUUUCCUUUUGUUAUAUGCAAAUGUUAAAUAGCACCAGAUGAGUUUUGUGUCUUACAGAGAGGAUAAUCACACAGCCCCUGCUCAGAGAAGCUUACACUCUAGGGCCCUUAUCCUGCAAUAGACUGUGUAAGGAGGAUUGCUGAACCUGCACAGAAUCCUGAUUACUUCAAUAGGGCUUCAAGCAGGCACAGUAAUACGCUUGUGUGCUAUCAAUUGUGGGACUGCAGCACAGAUAAGAUCUAUGAUGAGACUCAAGGAAAGAUAACAUCAGACGGGUGCUCACAAGAUUAUGAAGCAACUUGUUUUUGCAAGUCACAUAUGCUGGGUUUGCAGAGCCACCCGAAGGCUGAAAUCUGAAACUCCUUGGAAAAGAAAAAUUAGAGAGAGACAUGAAA